Molecule: transfer RNA, 89 nt
Filed under: Lophiotrema nucula
Lineage: Eukaryota; Fungi; Ascomycota; Dothideomycetes; Pleosporales; Lophiotremataceae
Rfam family: tRNA
About the family: Transfer RNA (tRNA) molecules are approximately 80 nucleotides in length.
Source: Rfam by way of RNAcentral
GCGAGAGUAGUCUAGUGGUUAUGAUGUCUGCUUUACAUUUACCCAAAUGGAAGCGCAGAAGGUCGGGAGUUCGAUCCUCCCCUCUCGUA